UACGUAGGAGGCAAGCGUUGUCCGGAAUUACUGGGCGUAAGGCGCGUGUAGGUGGUGGGACAAGUCUGCUGUGAAAGCGCCUGGCUUAACCGGGCGAGGUCGGCGGAAACUGUUCGACUCGAGGACGGUAGAGGGGGGUGGAAUUCCCGGUGUAGUGGUGAAAUGCGUAGAGAUGUGGAGGAACACCAGUGGCGAAGGCGGCUUUCUGGUCUGUAACUGACGCUGAGGCGCGAAAGCUAGGGGAGCAAACAGG
RNAcentral lists this ribosomal RNA (253 nucleotides) under uncultured bacterium. RNAcentral describes it as "partial 16S ribosomal RNA". It matches the Rfam family "Bacterial small subunit ribosomal RNA", at positions 524 to 776 of the family's 1533-position model. The record is from RNAcentral.